CCUACGGGUGGCAGCAGUGGGGACUAUUGGUCAAUGGACGCAAGUCUGACCCAGCAACGCCGCGUGAAGGAAGAAGGCUUUCGGGUUGUAAACUUCUUUUUAGGGGGAAGAGCAGAAGACGGUACCCCUUGACUAAGCCACUGCUAACUACGUGACAGAAGCCGCGGUAAUACGUAGGGGGCACGCUUUGUCCGGAUGUACUGGGUGUAAAGGGCGUGCAGCCGGAGAGAUAAUUCAGAUGUGAAAUCCACGGGCUCAAACCGUGAACUGCCUUUGAAACUGUUUCCCUUGAGUGUAGGAGAGGUAAGCGGAAUGUCUGGUGUAGCGGUGAAAUGCGUAGAUAUUAGGAAGAACCCCAGUGGCGAAGGCGGAUUACUGGCUGCCAACUGACGGUGAGGCGCGAAAGCGUGGGGAGCGAACAGGAUUAGAUACCCGUGUAGUC
RNAcentral lists this ribosomal RNA (442 nucleotides) under uncultured bacterium. RNAcentral describes it as "partial 16S ribosomal RNA". It matches the Rfam family "Bacterial small subunit ribosomal RNA", at positions 338 to 795 of the family's 1533-position model. The record is from RNAcentral.